RNAcentral lists this ribosomal RNA (497 nucleotides) under uncultured bacterium. Its description in RNAcentral is "bacterial SSU rRNA". It matches the Rfam family "Bacterial small subunit ribosomal RNA", at positions 28 to 531 of the family's 1533-position model. The record is from RNAcentral.
GAUGAACGCUGGCGGCGUGCCUAAUACAUGCAAGUCGAGCGAACCACUUCGGUGGUGAGCGGCGAACGGGUGAGUAACACGUAGGUGAUCUGCCCAGUCAGACGGGGGACAACGAUUGGAAACGAUCGCUAAUACCGGAUAGGACGAAAGUUUAAAGGUGCUUCUGGCACCGCUGAUGGAUGAGCCUGCGGCGCAUUAGCUAGUUGGUAGGGUAAAGGCCUACCAAGGCGACGAUGCGUAGCCGACCUGAGAGGGUGAACGGCCACACUGGGACUGAGACACGGCCCAGACUCCUACGGGAGGCAGCAGUAGGGAAUCUUCGGCAAUGGGCGAAAGCCUGACCGAGCAACGCCGCGUGAAUGAUGAAGGCCUUCGGUUGUAAAAUUCUGUUAUAAGGGAAGAACGACUUUUAGUAGGAAUAGGCUAGAGUGUGACGGUACCUUAUGAGAAAGCCACGGCUAACUACGUGCCAGCAGCCGCGGUAAAAGUCACGUACG